GAUGAACGCUGGCUACAGGCUUAACACAUGCAAGUCGAGGGGAAACGGCAUUGGGUGCUUGCACCGAAUGGACGUCGACCGGCGCACGGGUGAGUAACGCGUAUCCAACCUUCCCGUUACUGCGGGAUAACCUGCCGAAAGGCAGACUAAUACCGCAUGUUCUUCGAUGACGGCAUCAGAUUCGAAGCAAAGAUCCGUCGGUAACGGAGGGGGAUGCGUCUGAUUAGCUUGUUGGCGGGGCGACGGCCCACCAAGGCGACGAUCAGUAGGGGUUCUGAGAGGAAGGUCCCCCACAUUGGAACUGAGACACGGUCCAAACUCCUACGGGAGGCAGCAGUGAGGAAUAUUGGUCAAUGGGCGGAAGCCUGAACCAGCCAAGUAGCGUGCAGGAUGACGGCCCUACGGGUUGUAAACUGCUUUUAUGCGGGGAUAAAGUGAGGGACGCGUCCCUUUUGCAGGUAC
This 462-nucleotide ribosomal RNA is filed under the name Prevotella sp. oral taxon G57. Its description in RNAcentral is "bacterial SSU rRNA". It matches the Rfam family "Bacterial small subunit ribosomal RNA", at positions 28 to 478 of the family's 1533-position model. Lineage: Bacteria; Pseudomonadati; Bacteroidota; Bacteroidia; Bacteroidales; Prevotellaceae. The record is from RNAcentral.